GAUGAACGCCGGCGGCAUGCUUAACACAUGCAAGUCGAACGGGAAGUGGUGUUUCCAGUGGCGAACGGGUGAGUAACGCGUAAGAACCUGCCCUUGGGAGGGGAACAACAACUGGAAACGGUUGCUAAUACCCCGUAGGCUGAGGAGCAAAAGGAGAAAUCCGCCCAAGGAGGGGCUCGCGUCUGAUUAGCUAGUUGGUGAGGUAAUAGCUUACCAAGGCGAUGAUCAGUAGCUGGUCCGAGAGGAUGAUCAGCCACACUGGGACUGAGACACGGCCCAGACUCCUACAGGAGGCCACAGAGUGGAAUUUUCCGCAAUGGGCGAAAGCCUGGCGGAGCAAUGCCGCGUGGAGGUGGAAGGCAUACGGGUCGUCGACUUCUUUUCUCGGAGAAGAAACAAUGACAGUAUCUGGGGAAUAAGCAUCGGCUAACUCUGUG
Molecule: ribosomal RNA, 437 nt
Filed under: uncultured bacterium
Lineage: Bacteria
Description: partial 16S ribosomal RNA
Rfam family: Bacterial small subunit ribosomal RNA
Source: RNAcentral